AUGCACUCUAGGCCCUUCCACUGCUUUCACCUCAUCUUCAUCCCUAUGGACGCGGGGCGGCUCCGACGGCGGAGCUCAGCUAUGGAGACCUUGAGACGGUCAUUGCGCGUCUUCCUAGUCGUUUCGUUUUUUGCCAUUAUGCUUGUUAUCAUUUUGCUCCCACGCAAGUUAAAUAACACACCCGUCCGUGCAUUGAACUGGCAAGGCUUGGCUGCUUUGACUGCAAUCAAGUUGGCCAGUGGUCACCUGCAAUGCACCAGUCUGCCCCAAGGAGAGUCAAGUGGCCGAGGCAGUUUUUCAAGGCAAUAUUCUGUUUUCGGUGAGGAGCAUGUGGGCCUAGUUCUAUCACAUCAGAUAGAGAAGUUACUAGAGCACCAUGACUACGCCCAGCUCGCAUUUCCAAUCACGUUUGCUGGUGCUCCUGCCAGUGACCCUACUAGCCAUCCUCGCUGCCGCGGCGAAGGGGGUUGCCGCCACAAGUGCGGUGACAUAGACAUUCCCUUUCCUUUCGGCGUCGGCGUUGACCCCGGCUGCUUCCGCGAUGGCUUCGAGGUCUUGUGCGACGACUCCUCCAUCCCACCUCGCGCUUUCCUUGCUGACAACAGGACACGCAGGUACGUGAGGGAGGGCACCGAUCAGUAUUCGCCGUCGCCAUUCGAGCUCCUGAGCAUAUCAGUUGCCACGAGCGAGGCACGAGCAUACGCUGCGGUCUCGUACAACUGCAGCACAAAUCAAAAUCACAGCUUGUCCCAGAAAAUUUCUUUCUCCGACUCGCCGUUCGCCGUGUCGCCGACGCGUAAUGUUCUCAUCGGCGUCGGCUUUAAAGCCCAGCCUUUAGUGACAAUACUGCCGCCAGUUAGGCCACCUGGAGUAUCGAGUUUCGGCCCUUUGUUGCCGCUGCAUGUGCCGGGCAAUGUGCUUGAGUUCUCUUGCAGUGCACAACUCCCCUACUGGUUGACCGCCACGAACGGGUCGUGCACGGGGCGGGGUUGCUGCGAGGGCAGCUUCGCGCCCGAUGGCGGCCCCGGCAAGCAUUUCAGUUUGUCCGUCAAUGCCGAGGACUACGCUGACUGGAAAGCCAACCCGUGCUCCUAUGCCAUGCUGCUGGAGAGGUCAUGGUACAACUUCUCUACGCCCGACAUGCUCGGCAACAAGACGCUUUCUCAAAGGUUCCCCCGGGGUAUCCCUCUCGUGCUCGACUUCGCCGCCGAGAGAGGUUCCUGUCCGGCGGAAGGACAGCCGCUGCCUCCGGAUUACGCCUGCGUCAGUGCCAAAAGCUCUUGCGCCAACGCAACAAAUACAUAUACUCCUGGCUAUAUCUGCAAGUGCUGGGAUCAUUACGAUGGCAACCCUUACGUCGCUCACGGAUGCCAAGACAUUGAUGAGUGCAAGCAUCCGGAAGUGUAUAACUGCACAAGUGGCGGGAUCUGCAAAAACAGGCUAGGAGGCUAUGACUGUCCAUGCGCAUUUGGAAUGGCUGAGAUUCACCCAUACCCCUUCGCUGCCAGGGGCACGAUCGUCAUAAGUAAAACAAAUUGCCCCUGCGCGUCGGCGGCGAUACCCCGCGCGCCCGUGUAUACGCGGCUGCGGGACGAGCCGAGCCGCUUGGCAAUCGUGAGGGCGCGAGCCGAGCCGAGCAGUUGGCAGCCGUGA
This 1653-nucleotide ribosomal RNA is filed under the name Triticum aestivum (bread wheat). Its description in RNAcentral is "partial small subunit ribosomal RNA". The record is from RNAcentral. Lineage: Eukaryota; Viridiplantae; Streptophyta; Magnoliopsida; Poales; Poaceae.